Molecule: long non-coding RNA, 2509 nt
Filed under: Gallus gallus (chicken)
Lineage: Eukaryota; Metazoa; Chordata; Aves; Galliformes; Phasianidae
Source: RNAcentral
GGAGGAUACAGGUUUAAUUUCUCUUCAUUCAGGAAAACAACAAUAAUUCUGUAUAAUAGCAUGCCACAGUCUUGAUGAAGAAGUUCAGCACUGAUCUUAAGUCUGCUCCUGUAAUACCACUUUUCUAUUACGCAUAGACUAUCAAGCAUUCAAAGACAAAGCACCCUGAAUUCAGCAGGGAAGAAACAAACCAGAAUGAGGUGAUUUGCAUUUGCCUUCCAGGAGUUUAUUCUCUUAUGCUGUAGCUAGAAGAUGAUUUACCCAGCAUCUCCUUUGUGCUACACAGAAUUGAUGCAGAGCAGGCACACUGAACUCAGCUUCUUCUCCACUCAAGUGCUGUGGUUGAUCACUGUUAGGGCUCCCAAGCGAGGCAGAUUUCAUUUCAGCCAGAUCCAUUUGUCACCAACUUCAGCAUUGUAGCCUUUCUUAUAAUUGCGACCAGGAAGUGAUCGAAAUUCGUAAUAGAUUUUAUCAUAUUCAGUGCCUCCAAUUGUGAUUUCUGGAAUGAACUGAGGGAUAGCUACAGGAUCCAGCACUCCAUCUUUGUCCUGAACAAAAAGUCUCAAAUGAUGGAAAGAAACAUCAUCUUGUUCCAGCCAUGGGCCCUUGUCAAAUUUCAAGUACUCAAUGUCUUCAAUUACCUUCUCCACAUCCUCUGCCUCACUUGCUGUGUAGUGCAGAAUUUCACUGGUCUCGCUCAUUUCUGGUAUGAAGGUUUUCUUAUAAGCAUCCUCAAUGUUCUGCAGGUACGAAGCAGACACCUUUUUCUCAUAAGGCUCUCCUUUCUCUUGAAGCCUCUUCUGCACAUCUGGGACAGGUACAUCUAAAUAAAUGACCAAGUGGGGUGGCAGGAAUUCACAAAUGCUGAUCUCUUUGAUCUCCUUGUAGUGAUCAACACAUCGUUUGUGGAUAUAGCCCUGUUUAAACAUUGCAUCCAAAAAUACAAAAUCACUGUAGGGAGAGCGCUCCAACACCACACCUUGACCUGUGGUGAGCAGAUGCUCCAAUGCAUCAGAGUACUGUAAAAUGCGGUUACCAAACAGCCAAGCUUGCAGCCUGUAAGAGUGUCCAUCAGCGCAUUUUGGAUCAUUGUAAAAUCUCUCUAGGUUACAGAAACCAUUAAACCUCUCAUCCAGCAGCGUUCCAUCUCCUGCGAUCCUGUCUUGAUAAUGGAUAUCUGCUUCCGGGAAAUAUUUCAUCCCUAAUUUAUCUGCAAUGUGCUGUGCCAGCUUGCCCUUCCCGGACGACAGGUUGCCAUCCACUGUGAAGAUUUUACUGUAUUCGCUGAACUUUUUAGAGGCUCUCUCUCCCAGCAUGUAAGCCAGCCAGCCAUACUGCAAAGGGCGCUGGGAGCUGAUGUGGACGCUUGCCGCCGGCAGGACGGCGCUCCGCAGGCGGCCGCGGGCAGCAGAGGUGACGGUGGCGGCGGCGGCCGGGCCCAGGCGGGCCCGCCACAAGGACAUGGCGGCGCCGACGGAGGUGGAGCGCUGCGGGCGCUGAGAGAUGACGUCACGGCGGGGCGGGAGGCGCCGGCUGCGCGCCGCACCGGGGCCUGCGCGGCCGGUCGGUGACCCUGAGGGGAGCGUUGGUCGGGAUGUUCGGUAGGCCUUUGUUGUCAGCUUGUGGAGAAAACCCAAGGUCCGUGUGUCCUUAGCUGAACUGCCCUCAUGAUAACACUGAAACUCACACCCAUAGGAAAAACACCCCUCCCUUCCCCCCAGUGUGAAGAUCCCUCUGCUGCAUAUAUGGGAGUGGAAGUAUACAGUCGGCAGUUACCACAAUGCUGUAAGAAAAACAUUAAAUAAUAAUGUUACUUUAUAUUAAUGAUAUUGUAUAUGUUACAAGGGAUGUCCCGAAAGUAAUGCCUCCUGCUUUAUUAUAUUAGCCCACAACGAGGUGGGCUUCCACAAAGGUGAAUGUCGGUGGAGUGGCAGUAGAUUAAACCUUCCCACCAGUGUUCCAUCACAUGUCGCUGUGUGACAGAUGGCAGCAGAGCGGCACUGACAGAAUGGCAUCUGACAUAGAAGCGUGGAUGAAGCGAAGGUGUGGGACUGAAUUCCUCCUUGUGGAAAAAAAAGUGGCAUGUGCUGACAUUCAUCGCCGGUUGCUGAACAUUUAUGGAGAUCAAAGAGUGAUGUUUGUGUUUCAGCAGUGGCAACAGCAACAGUGGGUCACCUCUGCUGGUGUAGGUUUUUAUGAGCAUGGCAUGCAGGUUCUUGUUCAUUGCUAAUGGUGGUGAAAUGUGCCAUGGGGUCUUGCCUGAGAACCCCCACCUUGCCAUGUGACAGUGACAAAGAGCAGGCAGAAAUGCUUCAGCCAUGCACAACAGACCUGGGAGGACAGGAGCGGGUAGGAGAAAAGAGCAAAACAGCUUAGGCACUGACCUCUUCCCACUCCCUGUUCAGUAUGCAGGCAGCUCCUCAGCCACCAAACUCGCAGCCAGCAAUGCUUGCAGGUGCUGCAUCACCAAGCCCUCGGUAGGCCUGCUCCUAACAAAUUCUGUUGCUGA